This is a long non-coding RNA of Lutra lutra (Eurasian river otter), 985 nucleotides long. RefSeq lists it as uncharacterized. The transcript has 3 exons. Lineage: Eukaryota; Metazoa; Chordata; Mammalia; Carnivora; Mustelidae. The record is from RefSeq and is a predicted model, not a curated record.
UUACUGAUAACUAACAAUCAUAUAUGGACCCAUAUUUCUUAAGGAUAUAAACAGAAUGAAUACCGUUACAAAUUGAUACUAAGUGUUUUGGGUCUAAAUAUUUAUCCACUGCCUUGAUCAGACACUUGGUUUAAAUUACCUAUAACAAUAUCUUUAGAUAUAUGAGAAAGCACCAGGAAUCCUUCCCAAACCCUCCAAUGCUCCAUCAGAUGGGUAAAAGAUCCCUACACAUCCAUUGCAUCUUUUUUCUUCAAAGAACAGCUACAUAACAGGAGAGAGGGUAAAGGGUCUUUGUCCUAUACCAUGAAGUUCUUCCUAAUCACCACUGUGUGCCCUGAAAUGCCAAGAAACUGCCAAGGAUAUUCUCUGUUGAAUGUGGGCAUGACUGUCCACCUCUUGUUAGACUGCCCAUGCUUCCAAGCAUACCACAAUUCUCUGGCAUCUGCAGGUUAAUCACAAAGACUCUGAGGAUCCCUGCUGGGCCUGGCCAUCACCAGAGGUCCAAGUACCAGCUCAGCAGCAGAACCCAAAGAAUCAGAGACUGCUGCCUUAAUUCAAAGGCCUCACAGGCAGGGACUAUAAACUGCUGGAACUUCAAAACCAGGACAGGAAGUGCCUGCUCAGCUCAAGGGACACAGGAAGGGUGGAAACAGCCUCAAUGUGGGAACUACAACGGAGACUGGAAGAACAGUGGCCAAAUGCAAUAAAUAAAUUACUAAAGGCAUCUCUCAGUGCUACUGUAUUUUUUUAAAGUCCCUUUUCUGCCCUCAGAGAUUCUCAUUCAUUAUAUGCCAAAAUAUCCUUGCCAGUUAGGCCCUUGGUUGAUUUCUUCUCCCUUAGCUUAACAAUGUGGUACAAAAAUCUUGAUCUCUAACACCUGAUUUAAAAUGGAAUUUAUAAAGCCAGUCAACCUAUUUUAAUUUUUUAAAAAAUUCUAACAUUCUCAAUGUGUUUUGUUCUCCUCCUUUAUUCCUUAAUGCUCAAC